RNAcentral lists this ribosomal RNA (288 nucleotides) under Triticum aestivum (bread wheat). RNAcentral describes it as "partial small subunit ribosomal RNA". The record is from RNAcentral. Lineage: Eukaryota; Viridiplantae; Streptophyta; Magnoliopsida; Poales; Poaceae.
AUGAACUCCUCCUCGGCUCCUGGCCCGGAUGGCCUUCCAGUGACGUUUUUUCAGUCCUUCUGGGAGGUGAUCAAACCCGAGGUGAUGGCCCUAUUUGACGAGUUCAUGGCUGGGACCAUUGACCUCGGCCGGCUGAAUUAUGGGGCAAUCACGCUCAUUCCUAAGGUGCCGGGUGCCUCGGACAUCCGACAAUUCCGGCCGAUUACGGUGAUUAACGUCAUCUUCCGCAUCCUGGCCAAGGGGUACGCCAUUAGGGUGGCCCCUGAUGGGGUCAUGUACCUAGGGUAG